UCCUGGCUUAGGACGAACGCUGGCGGCGCGCCUAACACAUGCAAGUCGAACGAGAGAGAGGGAGCUUGCUUCCUCAAUCGAGUGGCGAACGGGUGAGUAACGCGUGAGGAACCUGCCUCAAAGAGGGGGACAACAGUUGGAAUCGACUGCUAAUACCGCAUAAGCCCACGGCUCGGCAUCGAGCAGAGGGAAAAGGAGCAAUCCGCUUUGAGAUGGCCUCGCGUCCGAUUAGCUAGUUGGUGAGGUAAUGGCCCACCAAGGCGACGAUCGGUAGCCGGACUGAGAGGUUGAACGGCCACAUUGGGACUGAGACACGGCCCAGACUCCUACGGGAGGCAGCAGUGGGGAAUAUUGCACAAUGGGGGAAACCCUGAUGCAGCGACGCCGCGUGGAGGAAGAAGGUCUUCGGAUUGUAAACUCCUGUUGUUGAGGAAGAUAAUGACGGUACUCAACAAGGAAGUGACGGCUAACUACGUGCCAGCAGCCGCGGUAAAACGUAGGUCACAAGCGUUGUCCGGAAUUACUGGGUGUAAAGGGAGCGCAGGCGGGAAGACAAGUUGGAAGUGAAAUCUAUGGGCUCAACCCAUAAACUGCUUUCAAAACUGUUUUUCUUGAGUAGUGCAGAGGUAGGCGGAAUUCCCGGUGUAGCGGUGGAAUGCGUAGAUAUCGGGAGGAACACCAGUGGCGAAGGCGGCCUACUGGGCACCAACUGACGCUGAGGCUCGAAAGUGUGGGUAGCAACAGGAUUAGAUACCCUGGUAGUCCACACCGUAAACGAUGAUUACUAGGUGUUGGAGGAUUGACCCCUUCAGUGCCGCAGUUAACACAAUAAGUAAUCCACCUGGGGAGUACGACCGCAAGGUUGAAACUCAAAGGAAUUGACGGGGGCCCGCACAAGCAGUGGAGUAUGUGGUUUAAUUCGACGCAACGCGAAGAACCUUACCAAGUCUUGACAUCCUGCGACGCACAUAGAAAUAUGUAUUUCCUUCGGGACGCAGAGACAGGUGGUGCAUGGUUGUCGUCAGAUCGUGUCGUGAGAUGUUGGGUUAAGUCCCGCAACGAGCGCAACCCUUACUGUCAGUUACUACGCAAGAGGACUCUGGCAGGACUGCCGUUGACAAAACGGAGGAAGGUGGGGAUGACGUCAAAUCAUCAUGCCCUUUAUGACUUGGGCUACACACGUACUACAAUGGCGUUAAACAAAGAGAAGCAAGACCGCGAGGUGGAGCAAAACUCAGAAACAACGUCCCAGUUCGGACUGCAGGCUGCAACUCGCCUGCACGAAGUCGGAAUUGCUAGUAAUCGUGGAUCAGCAUGCCACGGGAAUACGUUCCCGGGCCUUGACACACCGCCCGUC
This 1357-nucleotide ribosomal RNA is filed under the name uncultured bacterium. Its description in RNAcentral is "16S ribosomal RNA". It matches the Rfam family "Bacterial small subunit ribosomal RNA". The record is from RNAcentral.